AGUCCUCUUCCUAAACUGUUCCAUCAACAAACAGAAGUGUUUUGUGACUGUGCUACCACACUCGGGUCAUCUGAUUUCCAAUAAGGUUAUACUUGGUUUAACAAAUAUUUUCUGCAGACAAUAAUUGUUAGGUUUCAAGACAGAAUCAGCACAGUUUGUAUAAACUGAAAUAAUCAUGUUAGAUUUUGUAACAGUGAACUUCAAAUAGAAGAACCAAUGCUUGAAUGAUCCUGGACACAUACAAACAAGUAGAAGAAGCCAAAUCCCUUAUUUCUCGGACUUCUCAUCUGCAACAUCACUAGGGAGGUCCAGCCCUGAAGGUAUCUUGCCUGGAUAGUUAG
Molecule: long non-coding RNA, 341 nt
Filed under: Glycine max (soybean)
Lineage: Eukaryota; Viridiplantae; Streptophyta; Magnoliopsida; Fabales; Fabaceae
Description: long non-coding RNA (GMAX_LNC001548)
Source: RNAcentral